UAGUAGUUAGUAUAGGCUUACAUUUCGUUUACACCGAAAAGACGGGAAUGGGUCCCACUGCUAA
Molecule: transfer RNA, 64 nt
Filed under: Laternula truncata
Lineage: Eukaryota; Metazoa; Mollusca; Bivalvia; Laternulidae
Description: tRNA-Val
Source: RNAcentral